AGUCAUAUGCUUGUCUCAAAGAUUAAGCCAUGCAUGUCUAAGUACGAGCCUCUGUACAAAGUGAAACUGCGAAUGGCUCAUUAAAUCAGUUAUGGUUCCUUUGAUCGUUACCCCUUACUUGGAUAACUGUGGUAAUUCUAGAGCUAAUACAUGCGAAACAGCGCUGACCUCACGGGAUGCGUGCUUUUAUUAGGACCAAGACCAAUCCGGGUCUUCUGGCCCGGUCCCCCUGGCGAACUCUGGAUAACUUAGCGGAUCGCACGGCCUCGGCGCCGGCGACGACUCUUUCAAGUGUCUGCCCUAUCAACUUUCGAUGGUACGUUAUGCGCCUACCAUGGUUGUAACGGGUAACGGGGAAUCAGGGUUCGAUUCCGGAGAGGGAGCCUGAGAAACGGCUACCACUUCCAAGGAAGGCAGCAGGCGCGCAAAUUACCCAUUCCCGACACGGGGAGGUAGUGACGAAAAAUAACAAUACAGGACUCUCUCGAGGCCCUGUAAUUGGAAUGAGUACACUUUAAAACCUUUAGCGAGGAUCUAUUGGAGGGCAAGUCUGGUGCCAGCAGCCGCGGUAAUUCCAGCUCCAAUAGCGUAUAUUAAAGCUGUUGCAG
Molecule: ribosomal RNA, 608 nt
Filed under: Hemichordata sp. LV067
Lineage: Eukaryota; Metazoa; Hemichordata
Also listed under: 1 other name
Description: SSU rRNA
Rfam family: Eukaryotic small subunit ribosomal RNA
Source: RNAcentral